UGUUGUUUGGUGAUUUGUUGAUGGCAGGCAUUCUGACAGAUCAAAUACAAGCUGUAAGACUCCAAAUAAUAAUGGUUCAAGGAUUUCACCCAAUCCUGGAUAUGCCUGUGACCUCCUUAAAUCAGCCCAUGCAACAACACCCACUAGAUCAAGUUACACAAUGCUUCCAUUCCACCCUAACCUAGCCACUCCCAGACAGAGAACAAGAAAUAUCAACCAACUCACUUCUAUGUCCAAACUCAGCAAGAAGUAGAUUCAGAAGUCAGAACAAUGUCCCUCAACUUCCAAAAUAAAUUUGGCCGAUAACUCUUGAGAGGGAAAAUAUUAGAGUAGGCCAAUAAAAGAUAUGAGAUGGGAGAGGAGGCUGGGGCUUUGAGAGAAUAUGUGUAAAAUGUGACAAACCAAAAAUAGGCAACGGAGGGAGCAGACCCCUCUGUGAGGAGAGAAGACUCAGGGCCUCUCCAGGAUGUGGUCUAACUGGCGGCAUGACACCCAGUGGCUGCACCGGUCUGCAUUCCCACCAGCAGUGUUCUAGAGUCCCCUUUU
Molecule: long non-coding RNA, 546 nt
Organism: Molossus molossus (Pallas's mastiff bat)
Lineage: Eukaryota; Metazoa; Chordata; Mammalia; Chiroptera; Molossidae
Exons: 3
Source: RefSeq, a predicted model, not a curated record